Molecule: ribosomal RNA, 253 nt
Filed under: uncultured bacterium
Lineage: Bacteria
Description: partial 16S ribosomal RNA
Rfam family: Bacterial small subunit ribosomal RNA
Source: RNAcentral
UACGUAGGGUGCGAGCGUUAAUCGGAAUUAUUGGGCGUAAAGCGCGCGUAGGCGGUCCGGUAAGUCAGCUGUGAAAGUCAAGGGCUCAACCCUUGAAUGCCGGUUGAUACUGUCGGGCUAGAGUCCGGAAGAGGCGAGUGGAAUUCCCGGUGUAGCGGUGAAAUGCGCAGAGAUCAGGAGGAACACCGGUGGCGAAGGCGGGUCUCUGGGCAACAACUGACGCUGAGGAGCGAAAGCGUGGGGAGCGAACAGG